This 4502-nucleotide long non-coding RNA is filed under the name Homo sapiens (human). RNAcentral describes it as "HSALNT0317345". The record is from RNAcentral. Lineage: Eukaryota; Metazoa; Chordata; Mammalia; Primates; Hominidae.
AGAAGACCCGAGGCCUCUGCUACGAACACUGGCAGCCGAUGGAAAAUUCAGACGGAUUUGGGACAGUAUGCAGAGUUCUCCAAGCGACAGAUUAACAGAGGCUCUUGAAGAAUAACUGCGUAAUCACGUGUUCUGCUCAAAAGAAGGCCUGAAUGCCCAGUGCCUUAUUUGGCUUUCAGGGUUGGUGAAAGAAAAAGCAAAGUAGAUGCUUUCUAAUGCUAAGUCAUUUAAUGUAGCACCAUUCCUUGAACUUCUUUCAUCUCUAAGGUCGUCCCUUUCACCUGAUGAUGACCUUUGGGCCAUCGUACAGGCAUGUGUAAACUUGGAGAUCUUCCUCAACAUUGCACCAUAUCUUGGGUUCAUUCAAGGCAGAGUCUCCUUGCAAAAGCAUUCUAAAACAAUGUAAAGUCGAAGAGAGUAGAGCAAUACCUCCAUAGUUGGAAAAUGUGGAGGAGGCCAAUUAAGGGACAGAAAAAGAAGUGCAGAGAAUCUUGGAAUUGUUGCAAAAUUAUUCUGGAGAUAUUUCUAAGUCUCCUCUAUCCUUUUCCUUAGUGAUUAAUACAGGUUUUUAUAUUAAGUGGACAGUAAAAUCCAAACAGAAAGAGGUAUAUGUCGUAUAAUGAAGCCUAUGUUCAAAGUAUAUCUGAAAUUUGUUUUUAUAAUGUCUUUCUUGAGAGCUUAUAAAGAUGUCAGUAUUCUGUGGGAAACAAAUUGGCACAUGCAUAAAAGAGAAAAAAUGAAAAAAAUCAGGCCCAACUUUCAGUUUACAGAUGAGGAAACUGUGACAUAGAAAAGGAAAUGACAAAGAUCACACUGAAUCAGACCUGGGAACUGGAGCCCAGCCAUGCUCCUUGGCCCAGUGCCUCUUCUUAUUCUAGGAGCUCAUACCCCUUUGAAAGAAACAUAAUAUGAAUGUGUCUUCAAAUGAUGCUCAUAAAUCUCUUCAUCAUACUGAGGGAGGGAGAUAAGGGGAUUAGUUCUUCAGGAUCUAGACAGGCUUUCAAGAAAAUCUUUAGCUGGGUGCGGUGGCUCAUUCGUGUAAUCCCAGCGCUUUGGGAGGCUGAGGCAGGUGGAUCACCUGAGGUCAGGAGUUCCAGAUCAGGCUGGCCAACAGCGUCUCUACUAAAAAUACAAAAAUUAGCCAGGCAUGGUGGCGGGAGCCUGUAAUCCCAGCUACUCGGGAGGCUGAGGCAGGAGAAUCGCUUGAACCUGGGAGGCGGAGGUUGCAGUGAAGUGAGAUCGUGCCAUUGCACUCCAGGGCAACGAGUGAAACUCCAUCUCAAAAAAAAAAAAAAAAUCAUCAUCAUCAUCAUCUUAGCAGAGCUCUCGCUAAAUGAUAAAGACUUGGCAACUGAUAUCCUUUUUUUCAGAGAACUUAAGUAGAGACUGGAUAAUCACUAAUUGGGGUUGUGUUUAAGGGCAUUCAAACCUCUGAAAUCUCUUCCAUCUGCAGGUCUAAUUAUUUGGUUACUCUUUCAGUACAUGUGUGCAGGAAGCAUGGGGGGAAAGAAAACUAAUCCCUCUCCAAAGUCUUCUUUGAAUAGGUAUUAUGUUUGCAUUUUCAUACAUGUUAGUUCACUUAGUCUUCACCAUAGGCUUUCUAGGUUGGUAUUAUUCUUAGUCUACCUAAGAAGUUCACAAAGGUUAGGUGACAUGCUCCAAGCCACACAGAUGAUAGGCGGCACAACCAGAUGAUACUACAGGUCUCCAGAUGAGUGAGCCAAUGAUUACAUAGUUUGUUCCCCAGCCCCUCCCCAGUGUAGGUAAAGUGCCUGCACUGCUCACUGGGUCAUCAGAGCAAGUUGCUCCCACUGCCCUCUUGGUCUAACGGCUAGAAACAAAGCUGCAACAGAGGCCCACUCCUACUAGGAGACAGGCAUUUUAAUUGGCACCUCCUUACAAAGGCUCCAGUGUUCUAGAGCUUUGCAUACAGGAAGAUUCUCGUUGAACAAUGAAGCCAAACCUCGCUUCCAAAAUUCCCAGUUUGGUAGUUCACUGUGGAUGAAGAGGCCGGAGACACCCUUAGACAAGCUGGGACCGUGAUGAUAGGAACCAGUUUGUGAAGGGAGGAGGCUGGGCUAACAGGAUCUAGGGAGAUAGAUGAUAUCUGGACCUUAGGUAGUUCGUGUUACUCAAAGUCAGCAAGGUUUUUGUUGUUUUUUGAGACAGUCUUGUUAUGUUGCCCAGCCUGGAGUGCAGCAGUGCGAUCUCAGCUCGCUGCAACCUCCACCCCGUGGGUUCAAGCAAUUCUUGUGCCUCAGCCUCCUGAGUAGCUGGGACUACAGGUGCGGGCCGCCACACUUGGCUAAUUUUUUGUACUUUUAGUAGAGAUGGAGUUUCACCAUGUUGGCCAGGCUGGUCUUGAAGUCCUGUCCUCAAGUGAUCUGCCUGCCGCAGCUUACCACAAGUGCUGGGAUUACAGGUGUGAGCCACUGCACCUGGCCAAGAUCAUUUGAUGUUCUUGGGUGAAUGGCCACUUUCACCUGGAUCCCACCAAUUUUUGGUGCCCUAGGGAGCAUGAUCCAGAGUUCCCUCAAGACAGAGGAUGUGCUAAAGGCAAACUCCAGAGGUCAUCCUAUCCCCAUGCCUUCCGCCUUUCUAAAGAGAAGCUCUUCUGCCCUGCUGUUACCACUCAGUACUCUAGAUUAAACCUGUUCCCCACGUUCAUUCUGUACCCAUGACUAUAUUUCUGCUUCCUGGAAAGUUGUAGCCAUAGGAAUGAAAAACUCACCAAUCAGUUGUGGUCUUCCUGAGGCAAGUCAGUCACCUUCCUACUCUGGUAUCUUCCAUGGCUACCAGCUGGCCACAGAACCAAGCACUGACUCACCAGCCUCCAGUCUGGUUCCUUUUCAGCCUUUUUGCCACCCCUACAGCCCAUACUACAUCAUCCAUUCUGGCCAUCUCAGAUUCUUCCUUGCUAGCUCCCACCUUUCCCUGCAUCCAGUCCUCUGUACUAUUUCAUCUAUUUGAACACUCUUUUCUCCCUGCAUCCUGGGUCUCCAUUCAAAUCUUCCUCUUCCCUGGAAGUACAGCUUCAGUGGUUAACAUCACAAAGCAAAGCUGACUUCAGCAAACUUUCCAAGACAACCAGGGACCAACACAGUUCAGAUUAAAGGGGAUAAAUAAAGUGGCUUUAAGAUCACUUGUAGUUCAGAGGUCACCCAGGGGAUUAGGAUCUAUGCAGAGACCUGCAGAGCCACGCUGCUUCCCCAAGGGACCCCCUUCAUGCUGCUGGAACUUGCCCUACCCCUCAGGAGAAACUGGGCUGCUGUAGCUGCGUCACGCAGGCGGCUGUGGGCCAGCCCGGAGCAAAACUGUGUUGCUUGGCAUUUCUCCACUUCCUCUCGUGGCCGACGUCAUUCUGUGACUGUGCAGGGAUUCAUGCUCGCCAUUGCACUCCACAACAGGGUCUUGCGGUGUCACCCAGGCUAGAGUACAGUGGUGCAAUCAUAGCUCACUGCUGCCUCAAACUCCUAGACUCAAGCAAUCCUCCUGCUUCAGCCUCCCGAGUAGCUGGGACUACAGUUUCCCCAUGUGUAUGCUGUGGUAUUGGAUCAGCAACGAGAUAAGAAGAUCUCUCCCAUUUCCAAGCGUCUAUGAUGAUUCUGAGGCACAAGGUCACAUUUGACAGUACUAGGAAACCCAGGAAACAAGAAGCAAAGAUGACAAAGGCUGUGUCUGCCUGGGCAGACGAUCUAUUUGGACAAGAUAAUAGACCCAGGCAUGGACAUGCUCUCCAAGAAAGAUGCCCUGACAGCUGCUCACACUGAAGCUGAAUCGAACAUUCCAAUCCUUAGAGGUUCCAGCGAAGAUCUUGAAGUCUCCCUGAGCCAUUGACACAAUGGCCAUGCCAUCCCAGUGAUAAAACACAAAUUGUGGCCUUGUUUUGGACAGAAAUAAAGAGCCCAGUUUGUUAGUGAUUUACUGAUAAUAACUGAAUCGAGUACUAAUACUUGGCGAUUUUAAAAGCCAUCAUGUUAAAAAGACCACCUGAUUCCCAGUGACCCUGCAGUGACUGGGUUUGGGCAGCUCGUCCCCUGCACCUGUUUGGGGCUGUGCCAGCCACUUCCAGUGAGAACAUCGCAUUAACUUGCGGUCGCAGACCUGGCUGGACCCCUUGAACCAAAUUCCUUUCUGACCUUAUCAGACCCCAAAUAAAAGAGCUCACCAGGCCCCUCAGCCUACGUGACCCACCUGCCCAGUGAAAAAAGUAGGGCCCUGUUCUGUUCUCUGAGGAUGGUCAGUGUGCUCUUUGAUGAAAACGGUUUCUAAGCUGAGGCCUGAGACCUAGAUCAUUGUUCUCACAGCGUGUGCUUGACCAGCCACACCAGAAGCACCCAGGCUGCUGGCUAAAAACACUGAUGCUGGGGCCCACCCUAGCCCCUGGGUAGGGGGUAGAGACCUAAGGUUUGGCAUUUUUACAAGCUCCUAGGGUGAUUCUUAGAUGCCCUGAUGAUUGAGAACCACUGCUCGAGCUUCUUAAAUGGCUGCUGAAGAAUGAU